Molecule: ribosomal RNA, 456 nt
Filed under: Triticum aestivum (bread wheat)
Lineage: Eukaryota; Viridiplantae; Streptophyta; Magnoliopsida; Poales; Poaceae
Description: partial small subunit ribosomal RNA
Source: RNAcentral
AUGGCGUUAAAUUCGGCGACAGUGGCUAACCCCCUCGGCCUCUGCCCCGCAGCCGCAGGCGCCCUCGUCUCCCCCACUGCCGCACGGAGCCGCCGCUCCAAUUCCUACUCCUGCGUCCCUCGCCUCCAAUUCACCAAGCGCAACAGAUGCAGCGUGCUGAGGCUGUGCAGCGCACGCCCUAGCGCUCCGGCCCUCAACCAGUGGUGGGCGUCCGAGCUCACCCCGGAGGAGCUACCCACGGAGGAGACAGACGUGCCGACGACCGGGCACGGCAGGGAGGAGCUGGUGGCCAUAUGGAACGCCCUCGUCGCCGAGCCCUUCCGGCCCGUCCUGCUCGCCUUGCGCGAGAUCAGGGACCGCGGCCACUUCUUCCGCUGCCGCAGCUACCACGCCGGGGUCGUCGCUGGUAUGUACUUAUGGACAGGUUUCUCCUUGGUUAAUUUGUACAGGUUCUGA